Molecule: non-coding RNA, 1034 nt
Organism: Peromyscus maniculatus bairdii (prairie deer mouse)
Lineage: Eukaryota; Metazoa; Chordata; Mammalia; Rodentia; Cricetidae
Source: RefSeq, a predicted model, not a curated record
CCGGAAGUGCUACCCGUUCUGGUCCAUUAUUGGGCCCGCGUGCAGCACAGUCUUCUGGGUAAUGUAGUUUUGAUAGUGUUUCCCACAAUGUCCUACCAAACUGGGAGCUCUGCACCCAAUAAGUUUGAGAGGCGCUCAAAGGUCCCAGUUUCUCGCAAAUGCGGAGAAAUCUAGAGGACGAAGUCUGUGGGGAAGGACCCAGGAACAAGGAUACUUCCUACCAAGAUCGUUUUUCUGAGCUGGUGAUAGAAAAUGUAGCUUAACAUUUUUCGUGGGGAGGAUGCUGGAAUCCUCAUCUCAACAUACUAUUCCAUCAUUCAUCCUUAGGUAUUUUGUGGCCCAAGACAGCCUCCACAAAGACACGGACUUCUGGGUCACUAGAUCAUUGGCUUUGCGGUCUCCUGACGUGUGAAGGCUGAAAGGAUAGGAGGUUUAGGGGCCUCAGAGUCAAUCUGAUAAGUCUCUAAGAUAGAAAAGUAAACAGUCAUAUAGGCAAGUCAGCCUAUGUCUGAACACGGGGAAUGGACCUAAGCCUGGGCAUAUAAAUUUGGGAGUUGUGAGCCCUAUGUGGUUGUUCACACUUACAGUCCCAGCAUUCAGGAGAGUGAUGCAGGAGAAUUGCCAUAAACACCAUGGCAGCCUGGGCUACAGAGUUCUCCCUCCCCAUCUAUUCCCUCUUUCUUUUUUGAGAUAUAUAAACUCUAUACUCUCGACUUCCAGCCAGCCACGUGCUUUCCUGUGAUUUCAGCACUUGAGAAGUGGAGAUCAGGAGUUUGAAGUCAUACUCAGCCCUAUGCCUUGUGAACACUGAGUUUCUAGGCAUUAGGCACCACACCUGCCUUCAGUGAUGGCUUCCUACAGAUGGAGAUUUGCUGUUACAGGGAGAGUGACCUUUGAGGACAUCACUGUGACCUUCACCCCAGAGGAGUGGCAGGGUUUGAACCCUGAGCACAGACACUUGUAUAAGGAUGUGAUGUUGGAGAACUACAGCAACCUGGCCUCUGUGGAAAAAGACCAGGAUAUUGAAAGGCAAG